This 565-nucleotide ribosomal RNA is filed under the name uncultured archaeon. RNAcentral's name for it is "bacterial SSU rRNA". It matches the Rfam family "Archaeal small subunit ribosomal RNA", at positions 313 to 879 of the family's 1478-position model. The record is from RNAcentral.
GCGAUUCGCCCUUCGGGGUGCCCAGGCGCGAAAACUUUACAAUGCUGGAAACAGCGAUAAGGGGACCUCGAGUGCCAGGUUACAAAUCUGGCUGUCGUGAUGCCUAAAAAGCAUUGCAUAGCAAGGGCCGGGCAAGACCGGUGCCAGCCGCCGCGGUAACACCGGCGGCUCGAGUGGUAACCGUUAUUAUUGGGUCUAAAGGGUCUGUAGCCGGCCGGAUAAGUCUCUUGGGAAAUCCAGCAGCUCAACUGUUGGGCUUUCAGGAGAUGCUGUCUGGCUCGAGGCCGGGAGAGGUGAGAGGUACUUCAGGGGUAGGGGUGAAAUCUUGUAAUCCUUGAAGGACCACCAGUGGCGAAGGCGUCUCACCAGAACGGACCUGACGGCAAGGGACGAAAGCUAGGGGCACGAACCGGAUUAGAUACCCGGGUAGUCCUAGCCGUAAACGAUACUCGCUAGGUGUCGGCCGCGGUGCGACCGUUGUCGGUGCCGUAGGGAAGCCGUGAAGCGAGCCACCUGGGAAGUACGGCCGCAAGGCUGAAACUUAAAGGAAUUGGCGGGGGAGCAC